UAUAUAUAAAUAAUGAGAAAAAAUGAAGUGUGUGGGACCCACGUAUAUAAAUAAUGAGAAAAUUAAAAAAUGUGGGGCCCAGUGUAGUAUAAAUAUAAAAAUAAGGAAAAAAUAGAGUAUGUGGGGGCCACUGCAUGGAAGUCGUGUACCCCGUCCACGACUUCACCUCAAAACACCUAUUUUUGAAAAUAGUUUUGCAACUACCCUAUUUUUGAAAUAUGUUUCAAAUUUUACAUUAUUUUUAAAAAAAAUCCUAAGAAGAAUGAAUAUCAUAUAAUUAGUAAGGGAUAUGGGUGGAAGAAAGCAUUGGGGGGGGGGGGGGGGGGGAGCUCCGUUUUUGUGAUUUAUAAAUUAAGCAGGAAUUGAUGUUGUUCACUUUGUGAAGUUGCAUUGUGUACUGUAUGCAUAUACGAGAAAUUGUUAUUAGAAGUACAUCUCAUUUUGCAAAAUACUUUAAUCAUGGCUAUUGAAACUUCAACCUGAAAUUCUCCUUGAUUUGAUCUUGGAUAUACUUUGUUCCUUUGUGCCGAUCUUAAUUUACUUCUAAACAUCAACAGAGGAUAUUAUAAGUUGAUUCAGUAAAACCAACAGAAAUAUAGACCCUUGUGGAAACCCAAUGCUUUCUUCCACCCAUAUUCAUUACUAAUUAUAUGAUCUUUAUUUUUCUUAACAUAUAUGUAUAAUUAAGGCUUUAAUAUAAUCACCAUCAUAUAUAGCUCUCAUCCAAAAUCUCAUAUGCUAAAGUAUCCUUUUUGUUUUCUUGAAAGACUUGUGUUCCUAGAUCUUGGAGUAUGGUUCUUAAAUUAGUUUUAUUUAAUGAUUUCAAAACUAAUUCAUACACAUCUGAUCAAGUUUUACUAUUACAUCGAGAUGACACAAAAAUCAUCUGCACAACGUGAUUGUGUCGAUGAGGUUGCUGAGGUUGAUGGAUUAAGAAGUGAGGGACCAUGGUCAGAAAAGAGUGAAACUAUGUUUGUAGACUUAAUGGAUGAAGAGGUUGCAAAAGGCAAUCGACCAACUACAACAUUUACAAAGACUAGUUGGAAUUAUAUAAGAAGCCAACCGAAUACUAGUAUGGGAUAUAAUUAUUCUUACGAUCAAUUGAAAAAAAGUUCAAUAAACUGAGACAAAUUUGCAAAGACUUCAAAAAGAUAUUGAGUGAUAUGACAGGAAAUGGUUGAGAUCCAUUAUUAGGCUCCAUCAAUCUUGAAGAGGAGCAAUGAAACGAGCUUUUUAAGGUGAAUAAGAGAGCUAAAAAGUUUAGAAAAAGUGGUUGCCCACAUUAUGAAAAGCUUAUGAGGAUUUUUGGAGAUACUACUGCAACAGGUGUAAAUGCUUGUCCAUCAACAAGACUUAUUUUAGAUUCUGAAAAUGAAAAUGAAAGUGAAAAUGAUGUUGAAGAGAAUGAUAAAUGAAAAGGCAGAAAAAGAGUUCGAAGAACUAGGAAAGACGAAUUCGACAGUUUCUUUUCAACAUUCAUAAAUGUAUAUGCAGAGAACGCCAAAAGAAAAAAUGACAUCCUUGAGAAAAAAUCUAUUGGUUGUACAUCUAGUCAAGUUGAUGAGAGCCACACAUCAACUAGGAAAGAUGAUCUCAUGAGUUGAUGAAAUGUUUGAACGUUUUAAAUACAAUGGAAGAUGUUGAUGGAGAGGCUUAUUCUAAAAUAUUGAAACUCUUGCACGAUGAUUUUGCUUGGAGAAAAAUAUUUUUGCGAAUGCCCGAUUCAAGGAGGAGAGAUUUCAUAAAUAGUCUCUAGACUGACCUUAGGGAUGUUUAGCCUUAGGGAUGGAUUGUGUAUGUUUGUACCUUAUGUGUUAUUUACUUUUUUAAUUUUCUCAUGAUUAUGAAUUAUUUUUUUUAACAUGGCUACGUUGUUUUUGGGAUGAAAUGAAUUUGUACGUUUUUUGUCUUUGAUUUAGAGAUAUACUUGUGAAUAGAAAUGGAUGUGAUUAAAGUCAA
This is a long non-coding RNA of Cucumis sativus (cucumber), 1959 nucleotides long. RefSeq lists it as uncharacterized. The transcript has 2 exons. NCBI's taxonomy places the organism in Eukaryota, Viridiplantae, Streptophyta, Magnoliopsida, Cucurbitales, Cucurbitaceae. The record is from RefSeq and is a predicted model, not a curated record.